CCUACGGGUGGCUGCAGUGAGGAAUAUUGGUCAAUGGGCGUAAGCCUGAACCAGCCAAGUCGCGUGAGGGAUGAAGGUUCUAUGGAUCGUAAACCUCUUUUAUAAGGGAAUAAAGUGCGGGACGUGUCCCGUUUUGUAUGUACCCUAUGUAUAAGGCUCGGCUCACUCCGUGCCAGCAGCCGCGGGAAUACGGAGGAUCCGAGCGUUAUCCGGAUUUAUUGGGUUUAAAGGGUGCGUAGGCGGUCUUUUAAGUCCGCGGUGAAAGUCGGUGGCUCAACCGUAGAAUUGCCGUUGAAACUGGGAGGCUUGAGUGUGUUUGAGGCAGGCGGAAUGCGUGGUGUAGCGGUGAAAUGCUUAGAUAUCACGCAGAACCCCGAUGGCGAAGGCAGCCUGCCAGGCCAUGACUGACGCUGAUGCACGAAAGCGUGGGGAUCAAACAGGAUUAGAUACCCCUGUAGUC
This 460-nucleotide ribosomal RNA is filed under the name uncultured bacterium. RNAcentral describes it as "partial 16S ribosomal RNA". It matches the Rfam family "Bacterial small subunit ribosomal RNA", at positions 338 to 795 of the family's 1533-position model. The record is from RNAcentral.